RNAcentral lists this unclassified non-coding RNA (400 nucleotides) under Hevea brasiliensis (rubber tree). Lineage: Eukaryota; Viridiplantae; Streptophyta; Magnoliopsida; Malpighiales; Euphorbiaceae. The record is from RNAcentral.
AUUUACUCGAAAAUUUGAGCUUCCCCAAUCACUGAUGACCGUAAUCAAGACCAAUAGCCACCACGCGAUCAUCAUAAACUAGGAAAAAACUCGCCUAGUUGGAAAGGUUUUCUUUCCUCUGCAUCAGCGACUACAGUAUGAAGACCACAGAAUGUGAGCCGUGAACCUCCAACAUCUACACCAAUAACUCACCCGAAUCCCAACAAACCCUAGUUUCCGAUCUCCCCCAAAUUCUCACCUUAAUUUUGAUUUUUGUUUUUUAUUUUUGUCAAUGCUCCUCCAUUAUUAUCUCCUAGUCUUUUCUUGAUUGACUUCUGUAGCCUCCAUUGUCGUUUUCGGUUAUCAAUUUCUUACAUUUCUUACUCUUUCAGUGGAUCAGGAUUCGAUUUUGCUCUUUUGA